GCCCGGCUAGCUCAAUCGGUAGAGCGUGUGACUCUUAUCCAUUGAAAAAUGUUCUAGAUCAAUCACAAGGUUGCGGGUUCGACCCCCGCGUUGGGCU
Transfer RNA from Sclerotinia sclerotiorum, 97 nucleotides. It matches the Rfam family "tRNA". From Rfam's summary of the family: Transfer RNA (tRNA) molecules are approximately 80 nucleotides in length. Their secondary structure includes four short double-helical elements and three loops (D, anti-codon, and T loops). Further hydrogen bonds mediate the characteristic L-shaped molecular structure. tRNAs have two regions of fundamental functional importance: the anti-codon, which is responsible for specific mRNA codon recognition, and the 3' end, to which the tRNAs corresponding amino acid is attached (by aminoacyl-tRNA synthetases). tRNAs cope with the degeneracy of the genetic code in two manners: having more than one tRNA (with a specific anti-codon) for a particular amino acid; and 'wobble' base-pairing, i.e. permitting non-standard base-pairing at the 3rd anti-codon position. The record is from Rfam. NCBI's taxonomy places the organism in Eukaryota, Fungi, Ascomycota, Leotiomycetes, Helotiales, Sclerotiniaceae.